This 67-nucleotide transfer RNA is filed under the name Agrianome spinicollis. Its description in RNAcentral is "tRNA-Tyr". Lineage: Eukaryota; Metazoa; Arthropoda; Insecta; Coleoptera; Cerambycidae. The record is from RNAcentral.
GGUAAGGUGGCUGAGGCCUAGGCAAUAAAUUGUAAAUUUAUCCACGAAAUUCAAAUUUCUCUUACCA